Molecule: long non-coding RNA, 1300 nt
Filed under: Gallus gallus (chicken)
Lineage: Eukaryota; Metazoa; Chordata; Aves; Galliformes; Phasianidae
Source: RNAcentral
CCCUGGCGCUGAGGCGGUGCCCGCAGCCGCGGAAAUAUACCUGUCUUUGGGCGCGCGCUCCCAGCUCCGUGCUGUCCCAGUGUAGCCAAAUGGUGCAGUGCUACAAACUAGCGCAGAUAAGUCCUUAAGUAGUUUUCACGGUUAGAUGCUUUUAUUAAAAAGUCAUUUCUGAAGGAUUCUUUAAAUUAACCAACGUAAUGAUCUACAGUGAGGAGUUAAAAAAAAAAAAAAAAAGUUAGGGUGUGAGGCCUCUUCGGGAUGAGCCACGCUUUUUGGUACUGGUUCUGUUAACACAAAUAUUUACAAACAAUCUGUUCCUUAAACCAGCUGAACAAACGUAGCUAACUCCUGCUGCCAAAGCGUCACAGCACUUGUUAUAAGCAUCACCUAAACCCGCAGCUCACUGCGUACUUCCGAGCCUCUCCAGGAAAGGCUCACAGCAGUGUGUACAGACUGACAGACCGCAAUGUUCCUGCACUACAGCCAGCGCUACGGCCGUGGCUCUCAGCUGCCCGCCCACGCAGGGCACAGAGGCCAGCAUCCUCACCCACGUUUACUUAAUGUAUUAAGGAAUUUCAGCACUGCUUGACCGAGGAACCAGGCAGAUUCCUGGCAGUCCGGUACUGCCUUACUUCCUGUACAGUACUGCUUGUGGAGCUGAUUUCCAAGGUGCUCAAAAGACUGCACCUGUCUGCCCUCAGAGGUUUCUCAGAGCAGCUCUGUCCUGUGCUGGAUACUCUCGUUCAAAAGGCAUUCCAUUUACUUCACAAGGCUCAGAGAAAAGCUACCAAGAAUAGAGCUUUGAGUACUCUAUCCCUUUCUUUUCCCCCUUGCAUCGAUUAAGAGGCAUUGAAAAUAGCUCCACACCAACUGGCAUUGCCAGCUCUGGAAAUAAGUCCUGAGUUCCUACAGCUGUAGGCUUUACUCCACUGACAGCUGUACGCUUUCAGUCUGUUUUGGUGGCUGCUGCUGCUGCUGCUGCUCAUAUUUUCUUGCGAUGGAGUACAUCUCCAGCUGUUGCCGCAGGCGGAUCUUCUUCAUGCUGUUGUAGAAGUUGGGCUCGGCCGGCGUCUCGGCUGCAGGGGGCAGAGUGAAGAUGCGCAGGAUCCUCCUCUUGUUCCGCCGCGUAUAGACGAGCAGGGCGAGGCUGGCCAGCACCACCAGCAGGUACACGUUGGUGGCUUCGUUCCAGGCCUCGUGCACCGAGUAGUCGAUGGCCCCGCUGUCGCCCAGCGCCGCCGAACCGCCUCCGCCCGCCCCCCCGGCCGCUGCCGCCAUGGGAGAGGACGGCGCUGGGGGG